Unclassified non-coding RNA from Propithecus coquereli (Coquerel's sifaka), 100 nucleotides. It matches the Rfam family "Y RNA". Rfam says of the family: Y RNAs are components of the Ro ribonucleoprotein particle (Ro RNP), in association with Ro60 and La proteins. The record is from Ensembl. Lineage: Eukaryota; Metazoa; Chordata; Mammalia; Primates; Indriidae.
GUUUGGUCCGAGUGUAGUGGUGUGUACUAUUAAUUGAUCACAACCAGUCACAGAUUCCUUUGUUCCUUCUACACCCCCACUGCUUCACCUGACCAGUAAA